CCUACUGUAGGCAGCAGUGGGGAAUAUUGGACAAUGGGCGAAAGCCUGAUCCAGCAAUGCCGCGUGAGUGAUGAAGGCCUUAGGGUUGUAAAGCUCUUUUACCAGGGAUGAUAAUGACAGUACCUGGAGAAUAAGCUCCGGCUAACUCCGUGCCAGCAGCCGCGGUAAUACGGAGGGAGCUAGCGUUGUUCGGAAUUACUGGGCGUAAAGAGUACGUAGGCGGUUAUUCAAGUCAGAGGUGAAAGCCCGGGGCUCAACCCCGGAACUGCCUUUGAAACUAGAUAGCUAGAAUCUUGGAGAGGUCAGUGGAAUUCCGAGUGUAGAGGUGAAAUUCGUAGAUAUUCGGAAGAACACCAGUGGCGAAGGCGACUGACUGGACAAGUAUUGACGCUGAGGUACGAAAGCGUGGGGAGCAAACAGGAUUAGAUACCCUGGUAGUCCACGCCGUAAACGAUGAUAACUAGUUGUUCGGGCACUUGGUGCCUGAGUGACGCAGCUAACGCAUUAAGUUAUCCGCCUGGGGAGUACGGUCGCAAGNUUAAAACUCAAAUGAAUUGACGG
Molecule: ribosomal RNA, 561 nt
Filed under: uncultured bacterium
Lineage: Bacteria
Description: bacterial SSU rRNA
Rfam family: Bacterial small subunit ribosomal RNA
Source: RNAcentral